Molecule: ribosomal RNA, 578 nt
Filed under: uncultured bacterium
Lineage: Bacteria
Description: bacterial SSU rRNA
Rfam family: Bacterial small subunit ribosomal RNA
Source: RNAcentral
CCUACGGGAGGCAGCAGUAAGGAAUAUUGGUCAAUGGACGAAAGUCUGAACCAGCCAUGCCGCGUGAAGGAUGACGGCCCUCUGGGUUGUAAACUUCUUUUAUAGGGGACGAAAAAAGGGUAUUCUUACUCACUUGACGGUACCCUAGGAAUAAGCACCGGCUAACUCCGUGCCAGCAGCCGCGGUAAUACGGAGGGUGCAAGCGUUAUCCGGAUUCACUGGGUUUAAAGGGUGCGUAGGUGGGUCUAUAAGUCAGUGGUGAAAUCUCCGAGCUUAACUCGGAAACUGCCAUUGAUACUAUAGGCCUUGAAUUAUCUGGAGGUAAGCGGAAUAUGUCAUGUAGCGGUGAAAUGCUUAGAUAUGACAUAGAACACCAAUUGCGAAGGCAGCUUACUACGGAUAUAUUGACACUGAGGCACGAAAGCGUGGGGAUCAAACAGGAUUAGAUACCCUGGUAGUCCACGCCCUAAACUAUGGAUACUCGACAUCAGCGAUACACUGUUGGUGUCUGAGCGAAAGCAUUAAGUAUCCCACCUGGGAAGUACGACCGCAAGGUUGAAACUUAAAGGAAUUGACGG